Arvicola amphibius (Eurasian water vole) is the source of this 2242-nucleotide long non-coding RNA. RefSeq lists it as uncharacterized. The transcript has 3 exons. The record is from RefSeq and is a predicted model, not a curated record. Lineage: Eukaryota; Metazoa; Chordata; Mammalia; Rodentia; Cricetidae.
UGCAGCAAGGUCUCGUGCUGGAUGAUGAUGUCAAUAUUAUGAGACCUCUGUUCCCUUCUGAUCUGAGUCUAUUAAUUUUAUUAUCAGCAUCAAGGACUCUGUGAUUUGAUCUCAAGUCACAUACAGACAGUGUUUCCCCAAAGAGCUUUUGAAAGUGAUUUCCUUUCUCAAGGUCAGGGCAGGAGGAUCUCUUGUCUUGUGCAUUUGCCAUCCAAAGGCUGGACCAAAGUUAACACAGCCAAGAAUACCAGAGUAAACAACGGGGGAGAAAUCGCUGCUGUGGCAGCCCCUGGAGCUGCAGCGUUCCUGGGAGAUUUCAUCUGAUCGGCGUCUGUGCACAAGCCAGAGCUAAGCCUGUGACUCCAGCUUGCGUCAAGUUGACAGAAAACUAGCCAGCACAAUAGAUUCUCUCUGCCUCCUGUUCAUGGUUGAACAUGUGAGCCUCUGCUUCCUACUCUGGCCUCCAUUCCUGCCUGCUGUCACCGUGAUGGAAUCUAAAUACUCUGGAAUAAUAAACCAAAACAAACUCUAUCUUCUGAAUGGAGCUUGCUCUGAAAUUGACAUCUUGCUGUGACUUCCUCUGUGACCAUGCAGAGCUGUGCCCCAGUUACUUAAGACUGAUAAAUAUUUACAUCUUCGAGACCUUCAAGAUUCUUCCCUGGAACAAAGAGGAUUCAUCAAGAGUGAUGACAGAAGCAAGAGCAAUCCCAGGGUGUGAGCCAGUAGGGGAGCUGGAAGACAUCCCUGGGUAAGGUGGUUUGGCUGCUUGGCCAACGCCCCAUAGGCCUGGGGCUGUUUCACUGAGGUUGACCCUCUUCUACAGAUUUCAUUCUUGGCUUUUAGAAGUAUUUUUGGAGCCCAUCAAGAGCCUCAGGGAAGUAACGGUUGACGUAACUUUGGCCAAAGUUCUGUACAGAGUUUGUCCACGGGAGAGACGCUGGAUCUUGGCCAGCUUGAACACAUGAAGGAAACCUAGCCAAAACGGUUUAAAAGGGUUUGCAGUUUUGCGCUUGUUUAGACUGUUGCCAGAUCACCCACUAAGAACGAACAUUCAGGGGCCAGGGACAUGUUUCUCGGGUGCACACCUAGACCGUAUUUCUUUAUCCUCACUGGCAUCAGCAUGACUGUCGAUUCUUUGCUGUUUGGUUUUGCCUUUGUUUGGUUUUAGUUUGGGUUUUGAGACAGGAUCUUGCUAUGUUGUCCAGGCUGUCUCCACAUUAGUGGCCAUGCCUUAGCCUCAUAAGAUUAUAGGUGUGUGUCAUCCUGUCCAGGGAUGAUGGUUAACUCUUCAUUUAUGUUGAGGCAGACGAUCAUUGAGCCUCCUCAGCUGUCCUCAAACUCACUACAUACCUUUGUGAGACCUUGAACUUCUGAUCCUCUUGCCCCCAUCUCCUGAGAGCUGGAAUUUAUCACGUGCCACCACACUAGAAUCAAUCCUAGAACUUUGUUCAUACGUGGCAGAAGCUUUGCCAGCAGGGAUACACCCCCAGUCACCGGCUGUGCCUUAUUUAUGCGGUGUUGCGAUCAGAAUAAGAUUGUUAAUGUAAGUUACCCCUUUAAUCUUCUCGAGUGAGGGCAACAGGACAGACAAGGAAAUCAAGGGCUCGGAGUGUCUCUGUGAAUUGAGAGGCAGAGCCAAGGACUCCAGACUUCCGAUCUGGAAGCUUUCCGGCCUUGUCUGAGAUGGCUCAGAUUCACUUCAUCCAGCUCUCUUGAUGUAAGUAGGGAUGAGGAACACCAGCCUUAGAUAACGUGGGUUUUAAACAGCGCCUCACCCAAGAAAUAAAUAAUAAGGUAAAUGAAAGCUGCGGUACAACCUUCAUGAUUACAAAACUCAGACAAAGUACUACCCAGAGAUAAUGGUGGGAAGAGAUCUGCUACCUGUAGCAGGUGAGGGAAGUGCGGGGCUUUUGAGAGCAAUUGCCGUCAUCCAGUGAAGAGCAUUCCUUUUGUAAUCUGUUAGCAUAGGAGACCAGAGCUUCCACCAACCCCAAAGUGAAGGAUGUCAUCAGUUAGCAUCUGAGGCCUAUGGAAAGCUUCUGCUAGCUUGCUGCAACCUCCCUAAUGUACCCGCCAUUAAUUCGCCUUGAUUGAUAGCAUUCUUUGUUCUAUUAUUAUAGAACUUUAUGAAGUCACUUCUAUGGGGUGGGGAAACAUGAAACUUGGGGCUACCUAGUUCUGUGUUUCCUGGGCUAUGGUGACUCAAAUUUGGCUCCAGAAUAAACUAUUCCCUUUGAAACAA